RNAcentral lists this ribosomal RNA (406 nucleotides) under uncultured bacterium. RNAcentral's name for it is "partial 16S ribosomal RNA". It matches the Rfam family "Bacterial small subunit ribosomal RNA", at positions 29 to 526 of the family's 1533-position model. The record is from RNAcentral.
AUUGAACGCUGGCGGCAGGCCUAACACAUGCAAGUCGAACGAGAGUCGGACGGGUGAGUAAUGUCUUGGAAACUGCCCGAUGGAGGGGGAUAACUACUGGAGACGGUAGCUAAUACCGCAUGCCCUCUGAUGUGACCAGAGGGGAUUAGCUAGUAGGUGGGGUAACGGCUCACCUAGGCGACGAUCUCUAGCUGGUCUGAGAGGAUGACCAGCCACACUGGAACUGAGACACGGACCAGACUCCUACGGGAGGCAGCAGUGGGGAAGAUUGCACAAGGGGGGCAAGCCGGAUGCAGCCAUGCCGCGGGAAGGAAGAAGGCCUUCGGGGUGUAAAGUACUUUCAGCGAGGAGGCGUUAAUCACAGAAGAAGAACCGGCUAACUCCGUGCCAGCAGCCGCGGUAAUAC